Molecule: non-coding RNA, 98 nt
Organism: Acanthosepion pharaonis
Lineage: Eukaryota; Metazoa; Mollusca; Cephalopoda; Sepiida; Sepiidae
Source: the annotation of a GenBank genome assembly
UUGAAACACCAGUUCUCUUAAUAUAACCGAAGUUAAGCAACGUCGAGCCUGAUCAGUACCUAGAUGGGUGACGGCUAGCGAAUACCUAGUACUGUAAG